RNAcentral lists this ribosomal RNA (497 nucleotides) under uncultured bacterium. RNAcentral's name for it is "partial 16S ribosomal RNA". It matches the Rfam family "Bacterial small subunit ribosomal RNA", at positions 28 to 507 of the family's 1533-position model. The record is from RNAcentral.
GAUGAACGCUGGCGGCGUGCCUAAUGCAUGCAAGUCGAGCGAACGGACGAUAAGCUUGCUUCUCUGAUGUUAGCGGCGGACGGGUGAGUAACACGUGGAUAACCUACCUAUAAGACUGGGAUAACUUCGGGAAACCGGAGCUACUACCGGAUAAUAUUUUGAACCGCAUGGUUCAAAAGUGAAAGACGGUCUUGCUGUCACUUAUAGAUGGAUCCGCGCUGCAUUAGCUAGUUGGUAAGGUAACGGCUUACCAAGGCAACGAUGCGUAGCCGACCUGAGAGGAUGAUCGGCCACACUGGAACUGAGACACGGUCCAGACUCCUACGGGAGGCAGCAGUAGGGAAUAUUCGGCAAUGGGCGAAAGCCUGACGGAGCAACGCCGCGUGAGUGAUGAAGGUCUUCGGAUCGUAAAACUCUGUUGUUAGGGAAGAACAGAUGUGUAAGUAACUGUGGACGUCUUGACGGUACCUAAUCAGAAAGCCACGGCUAACUACGUG